GACGAACGCUGGCGGCGUGCUUAACACAUGCAAGUCGAAUGGAAAGGCCCUGCUUUUGUGGGGUGCUCGAGUGGCGAACGGGUGAGUAACACGUGAGUAACCUGCCCUUGACUUUGGGAUAACUUCAGGAAACUGGGGCUAAUACCGGAUAGGAGCUCCUGCUGCAUGGUGGGGGUUGGAAAGUUUCGGCGGUUGGGGAUGGACUCGCGGCUUAUCAGCUUGUUGGUGGGGUAGUGGCUUACCAAGGCUUUGACGGGUAGCCGGCCUGAGAGGGUGACCGGCCACAUUGGGACUGAGGUACGGCCCAGACUCCUACGGGAGGCAGCAGUGGGGAAUAUUGCACAAUGGGCGGAAGCCUGAUGCAGCAACGCCGCGUGCGGGAUGACGGCCUUCGGGGUGUAAACCGCUUUCGCCUGUGACGAAGCGUGAGUGACGGUAAUGGGUAAAGAAGCACCGGCUAACUACGUG
Molecule: ribosomal RNA, 468 nt
Filed under: uncultured bacterium
Lineage: Bacteria
Description: partial 16S ribosomal RNA
Rfam family: Bacterial small subunit ribosomal RNA
Source: RNAcentral